RNAcentral lists this ribosomal RNA (626 nucleotides) under uncultured fungus. RNAcentral's name for it is "LSU rRNA". It matches the Rfam family "Eukaryotic large subunit ribosomal RNA", at positions 23 to 664 of the family's 3401-position model. Lineage: Eukaryota; Fungi. The record is from RNAcentral.
ACCCGCUGAACUUAAGCAUAUCAAUAAGCGGAGGAAAAGAAACCAACUGGGAUUACCUUAGUAACGGCGAGUGAAGCGGUAACAGCUCAAAUUUGAAAUCUGGCCCGUUUGGGUCCGAGUUGUAAUUUGUAGAGGAUGUUUCGGGCAAGGCUUUGGUUUAAAUUUCUUGGAACAGAAUGUCAUAGAGGGUGAGAAUCCCGUCUAGAACCGUCCGCCGCGUCCAUGUGAAACUCCUUCGACGAGUCGAGUUGUUUGGGAAUGCAGCUCAAAAUGGGUGGUAAAUUUCAUCUAAAGCUAAAUAUUGGCCAGAGACCGAUAGCGCACAAGUAGAGUGAUCGAAAGAUGAAAAGCACUUUGAAAAGAGAGUUAAACAGUAUGUGAAAUUGUUGAAAGGGAAGCGCUUGCAACCAGACCUGUGUCUAAUGGUUCCCCUGGUUUUUAACCAGGCUAUUCCGUUAUGUCCAGGCCAGCAUCGGUUCGGGUGGUUGGUUAAAGAUCUUGGGAAUGUAUCUACCUUACGGGGUCGACUUAUAGCCCAGGAUGUAAUGCAGCCUACCUGGACCGAGGAACGCGCUUCGGCUCGGAUGCUGGCGUAAUGGUUGUAAGCGACCCGUCUUGAAACACGG